This 356-nucleotide ribosomal RNA is filed under the name Acentrogobius caninus (tropical sand goby). Its description in RNAcentral is "partial 12S ribosomal RNA". It matches the Rfam family "Bacterial small subunit ribosomal RNA", at positions 1023 to 1528 of the family's 1533-position model. The record is from RNAcentral. Lineage: Eukaryota; Metazoa; Chordata; Actinopteri; Gobiiformes; Gobiidae.
CCCUUGCCCUUCCCGCCUAUAUACCGCCGUCGUCAGCUUACCCUGUGAAGGCCUAAUAGUAAGCAAAACCGGUAAAACCUAAAACGUCAGGUCGAGGUGUAGCGUAUGAGAUGGAAAGAAAUGGGCUACAUUUACUGUUCCAGUAAACACGAAUGCUGUGCUGAAAUAAGCAGUUGAAGGAGGAUUUAGCAGUAAGAGGGGAAUAGAGCGCCCCCCUGAAAACGGCCCUGAAGCGCGCACACACCGCCCGUCACUCUCCCCAACAUAAAUAUAUACAAUAAAUAAUAAAUCAUAAAACGCAAGGGGAGGCAAGUCGUAACAUGGUAAGUGUACCGGAAGGUGCACUUGGAAAAACC